Molecule: ribosomal RNA, 468 nt
Filed under: uncultured bacterium
Lineage: Bacteria
Description: partial 16S ribosomal RNA
Rfam family: Bacterial small subunit ribosomal RNA
Source: RNAcentral
GACGAACGCUGGCGGCGUGCUUAACACAUGCAAGUCGAACGGAAAGGCCCUGCUUUUGUGGGGUGCUCGAGUGGCGAACGGGUGAGUAACACGUGAGUAACCUGCCCUUGACUUUGGGAUAACUUCAGGAAACUGGGGCUAAUACCGGAUAGGAGCUCCUGCUGCAUGGUGGGGGUUGGAAAGUUUCGGCGGUUGGGGAUGGACUCGCGGCUUAUCAGCUUGUUGGUGGGGUAGUGGCUUACCAAGGCUUUGACGGGUAGCCGGCCUGAGAGGGUGACCGGCCACAUUGGGACUGAGAUACGGCCCAGACUCCUACGGGAGGCAGCAGUGGGGAAUAUUGCACAAUGGGCGGAAGCCUGAUGCAGCAACGCCGCGUGCGGGAUGACGGCCUUCGGGUUGUAAACCGCUUUCGCCUGUGACGAAGCGUGAGUGACAGUAAUGGGUAAAGAAGCACCGGCUAACUAAGUG